RNAcentral lists this ribosomal RNA (343 nucleotides) under uncultured Anoxybacillus sp. RNAcentral describes it as "bacterial SSU rRNA". It matches the Rfam family "Bacterial small subunit ribosomal RNA", at positions 1044 to 1382 of the family's 1533-position model. The record is from RNAcentral. Lineage: Bacteria; Bacillati; Bacillota; Bacilli; Caryophanales; Anoxybacillaceae.
AGUGGUUGUCGUCAGCUCGUGUCGUGAGAUUGGUUAGGGUUAACGUCCCGACAACGAGCGCAACCCUCGUAACCUUAGUUGCCAGCAUUCAGUUGGGCACUCUAAGGUGACUGCCGGCUAAAAGUCGGAGGAAGUGGGGAUGACGUCAAAUCAUCAUGCCCCUUAUGACCUGGGCUACACACGUGCUACAAUGGGCGGUACAAAGGGUCGCGAACCCGCGAGGGGGAGCCAAUCCCAAAAAGCCGCUCUCAGUUCGGAUUGCAGGCUGCAACUCGCCUGCAUGAAGCCGGAAUCGCUAGUAAUCGCGGAUCAGCAUGCCGCGGUGAAUACGUUCCCGGGCCUU